ACGGGUGAGUAACGCGUGGGAACGUGCCCUGAGGUACGGAAUAACUGCGGGAAACUGCAGCUAAUACCGUAUGAGCCCCGAGAGGGGGAAAGAUUUAUCGCCUUGGGAGCGGCCCGCGUCGGAUUAGCUAGUUGGUGGGGUAACGGCCUACCAAGGCUUCGAUCCGUAGCUGGCCUGAGAGGACGAUCAGCCACACUGGGACUGAGACACGGCCCAGACUCCUACGGGAGGCAGCAGUGGGGAAUCUUGCGCAAUGGGGGCAACCCUGACGCAGCCAUGCCGCGUGAACGAUGAAGGCCUUAGGGUUGUAAAGUUCUUUUACCCGUGACGAUGAUGACGGUAACGGGAGAAUAAGCUCCGGCUAACUUCGUGCCAGCAGCCGCGGUAAUACGAAGGGGGCUAGCGUUGUUCGGAAUUACUGGGCGUAAAGCGCGCGCAGGCGGUUCGAUAAGUUGGGGGUGAAAUCCCUGGGCUCAACCCAGGAAUGGCCUUCAAGACUGUCGAGCUAGAGGACGAGAGAGGUGAGUGGAAUUCCCAGUGUAGAGGUGAAAUUCGUAGA
This 559-nucleotide ribosomal RNA is filed under the name uncultured bacterium. RNAcentral's name for it is "bacterial SSU rRNA". It matches the Rfam family "Bacterial small subunit ribosomal RNA", at positions 102 to 694 of the family's 1533-position model. The record is from RNAcentral.